Molecule: transfer RNA, 72 nt
Filed under: Fragilariopsis cylindrus
Lineage: Eukaryota; Bacillariophyta; Bacillariophyceae; Bacillariales; Bacillariaceae
Description: tRNA-Thr
Rfam family: tRNA
About the family: Transfer RNA (tRNA) molecules are approximately 80 nucleotides in length. Their secondary structure includes four short double-helical elements and three loops (D, anti-codon, and T loops).
Source: RNAcentral
GCUGGCAUAGCUCAACGGUAGAGCAACGGUUUUGUAAUCCGUAGGUUGGAGGUUCAAAUCCUCUUGCUAGCU